This 338-nucleotide unclassified non-coding RNA is filed under the name soil metagenome. RNAcentral describes it as "partial contains 5.8S ribosomal RNA, internal transcribed spacer 2, and large subunit ribosomal RNA". The stretch from base 1 to 122 matches the Rfam family "5.8S ribosomal RNA", at positions 35 to 154 of the family's 154-position model. The record is from RNAcentral.
GAUGAAGAACGUAGCGAAAUGCGAUACUUGGUGUGAAUUGCAGAAUCCCGUGAACCAUCGAGUCUUUGAACGCAAGUUGCGCCCGAAGCCAUUAGGCCGAGGGCACGCCUGCCUGGGCGUCACACGUCGUUGCCCCCCCAUCUACUCCUUCGGGAUUGCGGGGGGCGGAUGAUGGCCUCCCGUGCGCCUCGUUGCGCGGUUGGCAUAAAUGCCAAGUCGUGUGCGGUCGUCGCGCAUCGAGGGCUCGAAAAAAUUGCCGGGCUCCGGCUCGGCUUUCAACGCGACCCCAGGUCAGGCGGGGUUACCCGCUGAAUUUAAGCAUAUCAAUAAGCGGAGGA